RNAcentral lists this ribosomal RNA (351 nucleotides) under Triticum aestivum (bread wheat). Its description in RNAcentral is "partial small subunit ribosomal RNA". Lineage: Eukaryota; Viridiplantae; Streptophyta; Magnoliopsida; Poales; Poaceae. The record is from RNAcentral.
AUGUGCAUGUCGUGUCACACCGUAUAUGCGUCGAUGCUUAGAUGCUUCCCCAGCUACCUAGUCCGUACUCCACUUAGGCACUUAGCAUCAACGGAGCAGCAACAAGAAGAAAAAUCCGAGAUGGUGUUCGCCCAGCAAGAACAAAUUCUGACGCAGGUAGGCCUACUCCUAUCUGUAAAGACCACACAUGAUCGAUCGAUUCCCUUGAGAACGACUGGAACCAGAGCAGAGUACCCCGUGACGCGCGUGCGCUCGUCGAUCCUCCAGCUUUGCAGAAUCGCAGCAGUAGCAGCAGCCGAUCGAGCGAGCGAGCAGGCGGCGGCCAUGGGGAUUCGCGCGAAGAAACUUUGA